Long non-coding RNA from Leptopilina heterotoma, 340 nucleotides. RefSeq lists it as uncharacterized. NCBI's taxonomy places the organism in Eukaryota, Metazoa, Arthropoda, Insecta, Hymenoptera, Figitidae. The record is from RefSeq and is a predicted model, not a curated record. The transcript has 3 exons.
ACGACAAUCGGCAAUGAGUAGGGGGAGAUCAAUAUAUUCAGAGCAAUCUUGAAUCUACGACAAGAAGUUUGUGACAGUUCGAAAGUAACACUACAAAUAAUUAAUUUCUAUUCAACAAAUUAAUCAAGAUGCCUUCUCCCUGCGGUGAUUCCAAAUGCAAAGACAAAUGCGACGGUUGCAAAUGUGGGGACAACUGCAAAUGUUGUGAUUCCGGAAAAGGAGAAAAGUGCAACUGCAAAAGUGGAGGACAAUGCACAUGCAAACAAGGAUCUUGCGAAUGUUAAUAAUUUACGAUAGAAAAUAUUUCACUUUCAUUAAACAAAUAUUUUUUGAAACUCAA